Molecule: long non-coding RNA, 3023 nt
Filed under: Pelobates cultripes (western spadefoot toad)
Lineage: Eukaryota; Metazoa; Chordata; Amphibia; Anura; Pelobatidae
Source: RNAcentral
AUUUAUUUAUGUUUUGUUACAGCAAUAUGGUGGGUGCGUUAGUACAGUUGUCACAAAUCCUGCUCUACAGGAGGAGACUGUCAAUGUGCAGUGCAACAUCUAUGGACCACAGGUAGGAUCAGCACACACCACUGAUGUCUGUGGGCGCUGAAUAGAGCAGUAACUGCUGGCUGUCUGGAAUCCAUAAAUAAUGGUGCAGGUUGUGAAGCGGCAGAGCUACUGCUCAGAGCACAGCUUUCCUGUUCCCCUAACUCUAGACAUGAGGGAUAGCUCAGUUGCAUGGAGCUUUUCUAUUCUGUCUUUCUGAGUUGAGUAACGAGAGGGAGAGAGAUUAAAAUUAUCACUUGAUUGUGUGGGAGUGUGUCCAUGGAUAUGUAUAUGCAUGUUUAUUUCUCCAUGUUUGUGUGGUAGUGUGUCUAUGGAUAUGCAUUUGUGUGUGCCUUCCACAUCAGUACUAGUGCAUGUUUACAUGAUUGUUAUUGUGUCUUCAUACUAUAAAUGUAUUCACGUUCUUUUUCUUUAUUAUGCUUUCCACACCCACUUGAAGGGGACACUGAGCUAACCAAUCACUGCCCUAUCCCUAGGAAUACUAGAAAAGUGCAUUAAGCAUUCCUGACAGACUUAGACAUCUGCAGCUGGAAAAUCUCUUUACCUUGUAACAAAGUGAUGCAUGUCCUUUUAUGUAUUUUGAGAGGAUUCAUGUGCAUAUCAAUAAAGCUUUAGUACUUGCAUUUUUUGUCUAACAAAAUGUCAUAGGUAAUAAAGUGAAGACAACUCAAGCUAACACAACCCUAUAACAAAAGUAUACACUACACUAUAUUUAGCUACAAAUGAGGAAACCAUAACAUGAAUGUAGACAUUCCUUCUAUAUAUCAGCCACCUGCCCAAGUAAAUACUAUUUGUAUGGUAAAUUGUCCAGGGCAGGGUCCUAUUAUACUAAUGUGUGCAAAUGUAGUUAUGCUCUCUAUAGUAAUUUCUAUAUAUUGACUUUACCUACCAUAAAUGCACUUUUGGAGCUGUUUAAAUAACAUAACACAUGUAACAUAUACAUCUAUAAGGCUGGCCCAAGACAUUGAUGCUUGGAACCAAAGGCAAAAGGUGUGCCUCCAGCAUCACUUACUAAACCCCACCUUCUGAAGGUACACCUACACUUACCAAAAAAAUUACCAAUACUUUCACAUAUACAUAGACACAAGCUAGCAUUCAUACUCUGAAUCACAGUAACACACACAUAUAUAGACACACACUCACAUAUAUAGCCAAACACUCACAGCCAUAUUUUGUAAUUGUAUUACGUUUGCCUCCACUCUCUCCUGCUGCUUACCCUUGUUUCAUCAAGAAGGAAGAGAGUUAUGUCUGCUGUUCAUGAUUUUGAAUGUUAGAGAAGCAGUAUCUGUUCACUGGGCAACAUUCCUUAUUGCCCUCAUUUACAUGGUGCCCAUUAAAUGAGCAAUGGAUGCCAGGAUAUCGCCUCACAUCCCAACACCCUCUGCCCAAUUUAAUGUUAAUAUGCAGCUGACAGACGGUAACUCUGUCCUUCUUACUGCAGUUUCUGAAUGCUGGACAGACAGCACUUAACAUUUUGUCUUGCACCUAAAAAUUCCAGUGCUCAUCCCAACAAAUAGCCUCCUGUCUUCCUCAGCAAUAUAACCAGAGCUGCCUUGUCAAUUCCCAUCAAUGAAUUAUACCUAUCAAAAAGCAUAGGGCAACCUUCCAGGAUGGGGCAUGCAUUGAACAAGGAGUGGCAUGUGUAUGGAACCAUAAAGCAAUGUGCCACCACCAUCCCAAAGUGUUGUUUAGGUCUGUUGGACCAACCUUGAAUCCAUCUUUAGAUUUUAGCUGAAUUAUUCCACCAUCUGCUGUCUUAAAUAUGAAUUACAAGCUCUAUCAAUGUUACUGAUAUGUUUGAAUUUGCAUGGUCAUAUUAAUUGUUUGCAAUUUUGUGUUUUUAGCCUGCACAAGAUCAACAAGCAACAGUACAAGAUGUGCCUGUGGUACCACAGCAACCGAAAGUGCAUGGGCAUUAUCACCAUAGCCUCUAUCAUUCAAGUUUGUGGCCACACUCAUCUGAAUCAAGCUCUGCUGAGCAUCACCAGAAAGCUAUUGGCAAGCCCGUGGUCAGAAGGUCACUGACUGGUGAGCCUGUACCCCCAAAUACACUGCAAAGACAACUAUGUCCUGGGAGAAAACUUAUCUUUUAAUCGGCUACAGCUUGAAAAAAAUUAAAUGCAAACCAGUGAAUAAGUAAGACACAAUUAGUUGUAUGUUUGUCUAUCAUGUUUCAUAUAUUUAGGAGUUUAAAAGAUUUUUUUCCCACACAAAACCUAAAUAAUAAAUGUUGACAGGUAAGAAAAUGGCACAAAAAGAAAAUGUUGUACAAUCCAGCUUGCAUACAUAUUUUCAGACAGAUAUGCUGAAAUGAUGGAAUUGUCAGUGGUGUGCAAACAGCAAUAUCAACAAAACCUCUCCUCCUGCUUAAUAUGUUUAAACCACAAAUUGGCAACCAAAUGUUGUACCACAUAUAUCAUAAUUCUCUACCACCUAACUUCGAUAGUCCAAUAACAGUAGAAGGGCCAAGGUUGAACACGAUUCUUCUAAACAUGCAGUUCAUUACAGCUCUGUAUUUGAAAAUAAAAAAAAUGAAGAGCCUUCUUUCAAUCAUAUUCAUAAAACUAAUCUUCUCAAUAAAAAUUACACAGAAUUUUAGAAAACUCUAAAUCAAUAAAGGCCUUGUUGUCUGCUUUUCAUUUGUAUGUAUCACCCUGUUUGAGCUCAGGAAAUGAAUCUAGAACACACCGUUAAAUUAGAAAUUGUAUUUGACAGGUGUUUGCGUGUGUAUCCAAUGGUGCUAAACUUUACUGUAAUGCCAUGUGUGGAUUUAUGAAUUACUAAAACAUGCUGUGACAACAUAUGGUCCAGUACAAACAAUAAAUCAAAUGGUGCUUUUUUUUCCUAAUAAAAAAAAUAUUGCUUACUAUUUAAUGUGCUUUGUUACUUCAUUUGCUCUCUUUAUUUAAAGGAAC